This is a non-coding RNA of Nothobranchius furzeri (turquoise killifish), 131 nucleotides long. NCBI's taxonomy places the organism in Eukaryota, Metazoa, Chordata, Actinopteri, Cyprinodontiformes, Nothobranchiidae. The record is from Ensembl.
GGGGAAACUGAUACCUGGGCAGGCCUGAGCAGUGGUCUGUUCAUCACUAGUUAUCCCCAGAGCAUCCCCGCUUUCUGAUGACCGCGGCGAAUUGAGAGAAAUCGCCACGGACAGAUACGGAGCGGACAUUU